This 433-nucleotide ribosomal RNA is filed under the name uncultured bacterium. RNAcentral's name for it is "partial 16S ribosomal RNA". It matches the Rfam family "Bacterial small subunit ribosomal RNA", at positions 29 to 507 of the family's 1533-position model. The record is from RNAcentral.
AGCGAACGCUGGCGGCAGGCUUAACACAUGCAAGUCGAGCGGGCCCUUCGGGGUCAGCGGCAGACGGGUGAGUAACGCGUGGGAACGUGCCCUUCGGUUCGGAAUAACUCAGGGAAACUUGAGCUAAUACCGGAUACGCCCUUAUGGGGAAAGGCUUGCUGCCGAAGGAUCGGCCCGCGUCUGAUUAGCUAGUUGGUGAGGUUACGGCUCACCAAGGCGACGAUCAGUAGCUGGUCUGAGAGGAUGAUCAGCCACACUGGGACUGAGACACGGCCCAGACUCCUACGGGAGGCAGCAGUGGGGAAUAUUGGACAAUGGGGGCAACCCUGAUCCAGCCAUGCCGCGUGAGUGAUGACGGCCUUAGGGUUGUAAAGCUCUUUUCUCCGGGACGAUAAUGACGGUACCGGAGGAAUAAGCCCCGGCUAACUUCGUG